GCUCGGGUGGUGGAAUGGUAUACACGCAGCACUUAAAAUGCUGUGGCCGCAAGGCCAUGUGGGUCCGAGUCCCACCCCGAGCA
This 83-nucleotide transfer RNA is filed under the name bacterium. Its description in RNAcentral is "tRNA-Leu". It matches the Rfam family "tRNA". From Rfam's summary of the family: Transfer RNA (tRNA) molecules are approximately 80 nucleotides in length. Their secondary structure includes four short double-helical elements and three loops (D, anti-codon, and T loops). The record is from RNAcentral.